GAGGAAAAGAAACUAACAAGGAUUCCCCUAGUAACGGCGAGUGAAGCGGGAAGAGCUCAAGCUUAAAAUCUCCAUGUUUUGCAUGGCGAAUUGUAGUCUAUUGAGGCUGUUGUCAGCAUAGCGAUCCGGGACAAGUCCCUUGGAAAAGGGCAGCAUAGAGGGUGAUACUCCCGUCUCUGCUCGGAUUUGCCGUGUGUACGAUACGCUUUCUUUGAGUCGAUUUGUUUGGGAAUACAGAUCAAAGUAGGUGGUAAAUUCCAUCUAAAGCUAAAUAUUGGUGCGAGACCGAUAGCGAACAAGUACCGUGAGGGAAAGAUGAAAAGAACUUUGAAAAGAGAGUUAAAGAGUACCUGAAACUGGUCAGAGGGAACCGUAUCGCUUCCAGUGUUGUAUCCUGUGCAUAUUUCAUUAGCGGAGUAAUUUGCUGGUGCCCUGUGCAUGGGUGUGACGUCAGAGUCAGUUUGUAUGCUGCGGGAGAUGGUCAGUGAGGAGGUGCGUCACUUCGGUGAAAGUUAUACCUUGCUGUCUAGUAGCCGUGGUUGAGACUGAGGUGCCUACAACAUGCCUUGAGGUUUGGUGCUGUCUUGUUUUGGUGACUGCUUGGAUAGCUUGCUAUGUCUGCGGUUAAUCAGAGCAAUUGAUGGUGCCAAUAACCUCUGCUGUUCGGGACUCUGGCGAAAUGGAGCGUUACNACCCGUCUUGA
This 703-nucleotide ribosomal RNA is filed under the name Saprolegnia sp. WM_2. RNAcentral describes it as "eukaryotic LSU rRNA". It matches the Rfam family "Eukaryotic large subunit ribosomal RNA", at positions 53 to 657 of the family's 3401-position model. Lineage: Eukaryota; Oomycota; Saprolegniomycetes; Saprolegniales; Saprolegniaceae. The record is from RNAcentral.